Lutra lutra (Eurasian river otter) is the source of this 108-nucleotide small nuclear RNA. The record is from RefSeq and is a predicted model, not a curated record. NCBI's taxonomy places the organism in Eukaryota, Metazoa, Chordata, Mammalia, Carnivora, Mustelidae.
GUGCUUGCUUCAGUAACACAUAUAAUAAAAUUAGAAUAACAUGGAGAAGAUUAGCAUGGGCCUUGCAGAAGGAUGACUCAUAAUUAAGAAGACAAGGAGCCUGAGUGG